Molecule: long non-coding RNA, 257 nt
Filed under: Gossypium barbadense (sea-island cotton)
Lineage: Eukaryota; Viridiplantae; Streptophyta; Magnoliopsida; Malvales; Malvaceae
Description: long non-coding RNA (GBAR_LNC019104)
Source: RNAcentral
UUUAAUGUCUUCGUUCAACCCAUUAACAAAUCGUUUACACAUGAUAGCUUCCAUCGAAACACAUUCUCUUGCAAAUUUACCCAACCACACAAACUCACGUUCAUACUCUGUCACGGUCAUACGAUCUUGUUUCAGCUCAAGGAACUCUUUCAGUUUUUGGUCAAUAAAUCUUUGGCUAAUAUAUUUCUUUUUGAACUCUAUCUGAAAGAACUCCCAAGUAACCCGUUCCAUCAGAAUCACUGAUAUUAAUGUAUUCC